This 401-nucleotide ribosomal RNA is filed under the name uncultured bacterium. Its description in RNAcentral is "bacterial SSU rRNA". It matches the Rfam family "Bacterial small subunit ribosomal RNA", at positions 28 to 424 of the family's 1533-position model. The record is from RNAcentral.
GAUGAACGCUAGCGGCAGGCUUAAUACAUGCAAGUCGAGGGGCAGCGGGGGUAGCAAUACCUGCCGGCGACCGGCAAACGGGUGCGGAACACGUACACAACCUUCCCUUUAGUGGGGGAUAGCCCAGAGAAAUUUGGAUUAAUACCCCGUAACAUUGUAGAGUGGCAUCAUUCAACAAUUAAAGCUCCGGCGCUAGAAGAUGGGUGUGCGUCUGAUUAGGUAGUUGGUAGGGGUAACGGCCCACCAAGCCAACGAUCAGUAACUGGUGUGAGAGCACGACCAGUCACACGGGCACUGAGACACGGGCCCGACUCCUACGGGAGGCAGCAGUAAGGAAUAUUGGUCAAUGGACGCAAGUCUGAACCAGCCAUGCCGCGUGGAGGAUGAAGGUCCUCUGGAUU